This 489-nucleotide ribosomal RNA is filed under the name uncultured Agreia sp. Its description in RNAcentral is "partial 16S ribosomal RNA". Lineage: Bacteria; Bacillati; Actinomycetota; Actinomycetes; Micrococcales; Microbacteriaceae. The record is from RNAcentral.
CACGUAGUUAGCCGGUGCUUUUUCUGCAGGUACCGUCACUUUCGCUUCUUCCCUACUAAAAGAGGUUUACAACCCGAAGGCCGUCGUCCCUCACGCGGCGUUGCUGCAUCAGGCUUUCGCCCAUUGUGCAAUAUUCCCCACUGCUGCCUCCCGUAGGAGUCUGGGCCGUGUCCCAGUCCCAGUGUGGCCGGUCACCCUCUCAGGCCGGCUACCCGUCGUAGGCUUGGUGAGCCAUUACCUCACCAACUACCUGAUAGGCCGCGAGUCCAUCCUUGACCAAAAUUCUUUCCACAACCAGACCAUGCGGCCAGCUGAAAUAUCCGGUAUUAGACACCGUUUCCAGUGCUUAUCCCAGAGUCAAGGGCAGGUUACUCACGUGUUACUCACCCGUUCGCCACUAAUCCACCCAGCAAGCUGGGCUUCAUCGUUCGACUUGCAUGUGUUAACGCACGCCGCCAGCGUGUCCUGUAGCCAGGACGUCAAACGUCU